This is a non-coding RNA of Phalacrocorax carbo (great cormorant), 473 nucleotides long. The record is from RefSeq and is a predicted model, not a curated record. NCBI's taxonomy places the organism in Eukaryota, Metazoa, Chordata, Aves, Suliformes, Phalacrocoracidae.
CUUCCGGUGAGCUGGAGGACCGCGCGCCCAUAGAGGACGACUUCCGGAGGACUGACGGGCUCUCCCGGGUGGUCCUGGAGCAUCGUGAGCUCCUGGCCUGAGCACUGAUGGCAGCUCCUAGUGCCGGGAAGGGCGGCCAGUGCUGAGAAACCGCUCCAGUGGCAGGGAGCUUGGCAUAGCCCUGGCAGUGCUGGCUGGCCCUGCAGCUGUCAGUUUUUCAGACCUGGUGGCACUCUGUCCCCCACCAUGGUGUUUCUCUGCAGCCAGGCCCUCCCCCACAGAGCACAGCGAGCACCCAGGGAGGAUCCCGUUUUUCUGCAGCUGCAGGGAAAAGGAAGGAGAAGGAGACUGAGCACCAAAAAGAGCCUGUGGCGGAAGGGAAGAUCGAGUCAUGAUUUCAUAUUCGGGAUUAGAAACCUAGUCAGGAGGCCUAUAAUUACCAUCAUUGCAAUAGGACAUUCAAGUAAACUGCU